Molecule: long non-coding RNA, 234 nt
Organism: Lacerta agilis (Sand lizard)
Lineage: Eukaryota; Metazoa; Chordata; Lepidosauria; Squamata; Lacertidae
Exons: 3
Source: RefSeq, a predicted model, not a curated record
GAUUUCUUGGGAAGGGUUUAAAUGCCAGGGGGCUGUAGGCAUCCAGCAGAAGGAGAAAGGAAGAGACUGAGUAAGCCAAGAUUGCUCCAAGCUCCACUCUCAGAUAAAACCUUCUUCAGGGAAGCUUUCACAAAUGAAGACUGCUGUGAUCUGCUGGUGCCUUUUCAGCAUCGCCUUGGCUUUGCCAAUUAACCAUGAAAAACAUGGCAAUGUUGAGAGGGACGCGGAAAUAAA